Molecule: long non-coding RNA, 1737 nt
Organism: Corvus hawaiiensis (hawaiian crow)
Lineage: Eukaryota; Metazoa; Chordata; Aves; Passeriformes; Corvidae
Exons: 2
Source: RefSeq, a predicted model, not a curated record
CGCUAAGGAGGAAAUCGCCUCCAUUUGCUACGUGCGGAGCCGGGUGUCUGCACAGCGGCCGGGAAGAGAAGGGAGCCUGUUUCCCAGACUCUCAGAGCUAGAAGAGAGGAGAAAACCAGCACAGCUGCAGAUGGGAUCAGCGGCGUGCUGGCAGGCAGGCACGCACAGCUGGGAGAGGGGAGCACGCUCUCACACACACAAAGCAGCACCAAAUGGAGCACGUGGAAGAAGGCCAGCAGAGGCUGGUGACUCACAUCCCCAGCCUCCAUCAGCUUCUUCAGCAACACCAGUAGAUGACCGAGGCUGGCAGGAGAUACCACAAUGCUGGAGCCGUGCUCAGCACCCACAAGCCACCCAAGCAAAGGAUGGGCAAACUCUCCUGACCUCAGGGGCUGCUCAUCACAUCUUGGUGGCAGCCAGAUGCAAAGCACCACAUUAUCUUCUGUGGAUCGUAGUCUAAAUAUUUAUUUCCUUGUCCAGGCCCUGACACGUCCCUCCUUUCUUUUUCAUUUGUCAAAAGCAUCCAUAUCACCAGUGGCAAGAAAUACUUAAAUGGGAGAGAGAUGCCACAGACUCAGCAGAUGAGCAGAAAGGAAAGUGUAGUUUGCUCCUCGUUGAGCACCCAGGAGACAUGGAGAGCCCUUCCCAUGGCAGAGGUGGAGAGUAAGGAGGUCAUUGUGAAAAUUAUGGCUGCACCAUGAGUUCCUGCUCUCCACCUGUUGGGCUAUUCUCUCCCCUCCCCAAACACCCCAGUGGCACAGCAGGGCCUGGGAUGACUGCCAGAUUCUCCUUGCUCAGAAGCUAUUCAGUCCUCCAGAGAGGAAAAAGAAUGCUCACGGGAAAUGGUCAGCAGAGCAAAACCAGCACCUCUGAGGACACAGAGCACGUUUGCAAAGGGCAGUACUGCUCCCCAGCCAUGCCUGCACCCACCACAGCACCACCACAGCAGGGUCAGCUUCUUGCCUUCCUUGCCUUCUGUGACAGCAGUGGCCUGUGCCAGGGCACAGCAGCGGUGCAGGACGGAGAGAAGGGAAAAGGGCCCUGAGCUGAGGCAGCAUCUGUACCCACCUCUCAGUGCACAGUGUUUCAGCAGCUGGUGCUAAACAAGGACUUCAGGCUUCUCUCAUCCUCUGUGACACUUCCACUGCUGCAGUGCAGCCCUAUGCCAGUUGCUAUGGCCCAGCUGUACAUCCCGGUGCUGGGCUCCUUGCAGGACAACUUCUUCCCAGUCCUUGGCAGCAUCGCUUCUGUUGGGAUGCUGACUCCCUGGCUUGACAGAACACAGAAACACCACAGACCACCAGAAGAGAAGUUGGUAAAGCACCAUUUCACCGAGCUGCAGAAAAAUGGGAGAGGAUAUUAUACAGCCCUGAGCAGUGGUACAGCCUCGUCCAGCCCUGCCUGCCCCUGGAGCCCCCAUCUUCAGCCAUUUGCUCUUGCACAUCUGCACUUCCCAGCACACACUGAUCUGUGAUGCCUGGCUCUCCUCUUCCUUCCCCUCCUCACCCUGCUGUAAGGAUCACACAGCCUCCUGCUGAUGCAGGAUGUGUUGCAGGAUACACCACCAUUCAGAGCCGCCAUGAGGUGUAAGUUUGAGGUAGCUGGAAAGCACUGGUAUAAGCUGACCAACUCUGCUAUGCCUAAGAAAUAAUACUAUGUCCACUCCAGGUGCCAUCUCCAAACCAAGGCAUACGACUCACAGGUUAGAGAUGGGGCACUGUCAUUCUGGCUUGGAGG